RNAcentral lists this long non-coding RNA (418 nucleotides) under Numida meleagris (helmeted guineafowl). RNAcentral's name for it is "lncRNA (ENSNMEG00000000173.1)". The record is from RNAcentral. Lineage: Eukaryota; Metazoa; Chordata; Aves; Galliformes; Numididae.
CCAGAAUGUACACCGGGAUUACACAUUCCAUCUGGUUACAAAUAUCAGGAACUCUGUGCUUUUGUCUGUGCUCAAGACAGUUUGUGCAUGCCAUCCACUUUUCAGGACCCACAGCUGUUCUCGUGUCAUCUCAGGUAGUGGAGAGAGGGGAACAGACAUUACCAAAUUCAACCUGGUAUAUCCACCCAUCCAUCAGAGCUGAAUUUUCUCAGAUUUAAUUUCCUCUUAAUUACUCAAAGUAGCUUCAGAUGCUUUCUAGAGCAAAUAACAUUAUCUGUUUACAGAUGGUAAAAUGUAUUUCAUUUGUGCUUUCAACAAGUAGGAGGAAUCAGUCUAAUUAAUGAAUUGUAUCAUAGCCUAAAACAAUCAUAUUAACUUUGAAGAACACUGUGCAUAAGCAUGUAGCUUUAGAUCAUUA